AGUCGAGCGGCAGCGCGGGGGCAACCCUGGCGGCGAGCGGCGGACGGGUGAGGAAUUCGUCGGAAUCUGCCUUUUUGUGGGGGAUAACGUAGGGAAACUUACGCUAAUACCGCAUACGACCUACGGGUGAAAGUGGGGGACCGCAAGGCCUCACGCAGAAAGAUGAGCCGACGACCGAUUAGCUAGUUGGUAGGGUAAAGGCCUACCAAGGCGACGAUCGGUAGCUGGUCUGAGAGGAUGAUCAGCCACACUGGGACUGAGACACGGCCCAGACUCCUACGGGAGGCAGCAGUGGGGAAUAUUGGACAAUGGGCGCAAGCCUGAUCCAGCCAUGCCGCGUGUGUGAAGAAGGCCUUCGGGUUGUAAAGCACUUUUGUCCGGAAAGAAAUCUUCCAACUUAAUACGUUGGGAGGAUGACGGUACCGGAAGAAUAAGCACCGGCUAACUUCGUGCCAGCAGCCGCGGUAAUACGAAGGGUGCAAGCGUUACUCGGAAUUACUGGGCGUAAAGCGUGCGUAGGCGGUUCGUUAAGUCUGACGUGAAAUCCCCGGGCUCAACCUGGGACGUGCGUUGGAAACUGGCGAUCUAGAGUACGGUAGAGGGUGGUGGAAUUCCCGGUGUAGCAGUGAAAUGCGUAGAGAUCGGGAGGAACACUCGUGGCGAAGGCGGCCACCUGGACCAGUACUGACGCUGANGCACGAAAGCGUGGGGAGCAAACAGGAUUAGAUACCCUNNAGUCCACGCCCUAAACGAUGCGAACUGGAUGUUGGGCUCACUUCGGAGCUCAGUAUCGAAGCUAACGCGUUAAGUUCGCCGCCUGGGGAGUACGGUCGCAAGACUGAAACUCANNGGAAUUGACGGGGGCCCGCACAGCGGNGGANU
RNAcentral lists this ribosomal RNA (882 nucleotides) under uncultured bacterium. Its description in RNAcentral is "bacterial SSU rRNA". It matches the Rfam family "Bacterial small subunit ribosomal RNA", at positions 60 to 938 of the family's 1533-position model. The record is from RNAcentral.